UGCAGUCGAGCGAGAACCAGGGCUUCGGCCCUGGGGACAGCGGCGAACGGGUGAGUAACGCGUGGGUGACCUACCUUCGAGUGGGGGAUAACGUUCCGAAAGGGACGCUAAUACCGCAUGACAUCCUGCCUUUGAACAGGCGGUGAUCAAAGCCGGAACCGCAAGGUCUGGUGCUUGAUGAGGGGCCCGCGUCCGAUUAGCUAGUUGGUGGGGUAAUGGCUCACCAAGGCGACGAUCGGUAGCCGGCCUAAGAGGGCGGACGGCCACACUGGGACUGAGACACGGCCCAGACUCCUACGGGAGGCAGCAGUGGGGAAUUGUUCGCAAUGGGCGCAAGCCUGACGACGCAACGCCGCGUGGAGGAUGAAGAUCUUCGGGUCGUAAACUCCUGUCGAGCGGGACGAAAGGUCCGCGACCUAAUACGUCGUGGAAGUGACGGUACCGCUAGAGGAAGCCCCGGCUAACUCCGUGCCAGCAGCCGCGGUAAUACGGGGGGGGCUAGCGUUGUUCGGAAUUACUGGGCGUAAAGGGCUCGUAGGUGGCCAACUCAGUCAGACGUGAAAUCCCUCGGCUUAACCGGGGAACUGCGUCUGAUACUGGAUGGCUUGAAUCCGGGAGAGGGAUGCGGAAUUCCAGGUGUAGCGGUGAAAUGCGUAGAUAUCUGGAGGAACACCGGUGGCGAACGCGGCAUCCUGGACCGGUAUUGACACUGAGGAGCGAAAGCCAGGGGAGCAAACGGGAUUAGAUACCCCGGUAGUCCU
RNAcentral lists this ribosomal RNA (761 nucleotides) under uncultured Acidobacteriota bacterium. RNAcentral describes it as "bacterial SSU rRNA". It matches the Rfam family "Bacterial small subunit ribosomal RNA", at positions 56 to 797 of the family's 1533-position model. Lineage: Bacteria; Pseudomonadati; Acidobacteriota. The record is from RNAcentral.